This 253-nucleotide ribosomal RNA is filed under the name uncultured bacterium. Its description in RNAcentral is "partial 16S ribosomal RNA". It matches the Rfam family "Bacterial small subunit ribosomal RNA", at positions 524 to 776 of the family's 1533-position model. The record is from RNAcentral.
UACAGAGGGUGCAAGCGUUAUUCGGAAUCACUGGGCGUAAAGAGUUCGUAGGCGGUUUGUUAAGUUUAAUGUGAAAGCCCUGGGCUCAAUCCAGGAAGUGCAUUAGAUACUGGCAAACUAGAGUGCAGGAGAGGAAGGCGGAAUUCCAGGUGUAGAGGUGAAAUUCGUAGAUAUCUGGAGGAACAACAGAGGCGAAGGCGGCCUUCUGGACUGUCACUGACGCUGAGGAACGAAAGCGUGGGGAGCAAACAGG